RNAcentral lists this long non-coding RNA (238 nucleotides) under Olea europaea (common olive). Its description in RNAcentral is "long non-coding RNA (OEUR_LNC002487)". The record is from RNAcentral. Lineage: Eukaryota; Viridiplantae; Streptophyta; Magnoliopsida; Lamiales; Oleaceae.
ACUCAUGAGAUUCUACUGCAUAACCUUUACUGUAUAACUCACUUGUUAACUGUGCACUUUAAAUUUGAUUAUGGUGUAUGACAUUUGAGUUCUUGCAAGUAGUAUAUACUGUUGACUUUGUAUGUGAUCUGCAUGCACUAUUUUUAAUCAAAUUGUGUUUUCAUUAUGUCAACUAAAGUUGAAUUGGAGAUUUUUAAUGGUAAAGGAGACUUUAGUCUCUGGCGCCAGAAAAUGCGAG